GAUGAACGCUAGCUACAGGCUUAACACAUGCAAGUCGAGGGGAAACGGCAUUUAGUGCUUGCACCGAAUGGACGUCGACCGGCGCACGGGUGAGUAACGCGUAUCCAACCUACCCAUUACUGUGGGAUAACCUGCCGAAAGGCAGACUAAUACCGCAUAGUCUUCGAUGACGGCAUCAGAUUUGAAGUAAAGAUUUAUCGGUAAUGGAUGGGGAUGCGUCUGAUUAGCUUGUUGGCGGGGUAACGGCCCACCAAGGCGACGAUCAGUAGGGGUUCUGAGAGGAAGGUCCCCCACAUUGGAACUGAGACACGGUCCAAACUCCUACGGGAGGCAGCAGUGAGGAAUAUUGGUCAAUGGACGAGAGUCUGAACCAGCCAAGUAGCGUGCAGGAUGACGGCCCUAUGGGUUGUAAACUGCUUUUGUAUGGGGAUAAAGUCAAUCACGUGUGAUUGUUUGCAGGUACCAUACGAAUAAGGACCGGCUAAUUCCGUGCCAGCAGCCGCGGUAAUACGGAAGGUCCGGGCGUUAUCCGGAUUUAUUGGGUUUAAAGGGAGCGUAGGCCGGAGAUUAAGUGUGUUGUGAAAUGUAGACGCUCAACGUCUGACUUGCAGCGCAUACUGGUUUCCUUGAGUACGCACAACGUUGGCGGAAUUCGUCAUGUAGCGGUGAAAUGCUUAGAUAUGACGAAUAAACUCCGAUUGCGAAGGCAGCUGACGGGAGCGCAACUGACGCUAAAGCUCGAAGGUGCGGGUAUCGAACAGG
Molecule: ribosomal RNA, 762 nt
Filed under: Prevotella melaninogenica
Lineage: Bacteria; Pseudomonadati; Bacteroidota; Bacteroidia; Bacteroidales; Prevotellaceae
Description: bacterial SSU rRNA
Rfam family: Bacterial small subunit ribosomal RNA
Source: RNAcentral